RNAcentral lists this unclassified non-coding RNA (301 nucleotides) under Glomus sp. RNAcentral's name for it is "partial contains 5.8S ribosomal RNA, internal transcribed spacer 2, and large subunit ribosomal RNA". The stretch from base 1 to 71 matches the Rfam family "5.8S ribosomal RNA", at positions 84 to 154 of the family's 154-position model. The record is from RNAcentral. Lineage: Eukaryota; Fungi; Glomeromycota; Glomeromycetes; Glomerales; Glomeraceae.
GUGAAUCAUCAAAUUUUUGAACGCAAAUUGCACUCUCUGGUAUUCCGUGGAGUAUGCCUGUUUGAGGGUCAGUUUAACUUAAAAUCGGUGUGUUUUCUGCCUUUCGUUGUUACUUACCGGAUUUUGGUCGUCUUUCCUUCGUUUAAGUUACCUAAAGUUUUGCAUGAUUUUUUCAAACGUAUUUAAAUGACUUUACGUAAGUUUGCUAUAUCGAAUACUAGGUGUGGUCAUCCUCAUGAUUGGCUCAUAUAAUUUUUCAUCAAAAUUACCUCAAAUCAUGUAAGAGUACCCGCUGAACUUA